AUGAAAAAUAUUUUACUAAAAAGAAAUUCUGGCAACUCUGCUUAAAUAUAUGCUAAAUUAUUUUCAACACAUGUGUACUUAAAUUUAAAUUAUCUACUUUUCACAAAUAAAAAAUUUUAUUCUCUUUCAAAAAAAAAACAUGUGGCAACUACAGUACAAAAUUUCUCUUUAAAACAUUUUUUCUAUAAUAAUUUACCACCAAUCUAAUGCGCACACAAUGGUACAAACAGACACGCAUAGAAUUUCAGAAUUUCAAUAUACUCGAACACAUCAUACUUAUUGAAAUUCUUUGGCGUCGGCUUGCGUAUUUGCCGACCCCUCUAUUCCCUUUCCACUUUCCGCUGUUUCUUCUUAUUUACAUAUUCCCCCUGUUUAUUUAUCUUCGAUUAGCGAUAGUUUCUUUGUUUGUGAAAUUAAUUCACUUUGAAAUAUUUUCAUGCACACAAAGGUGUGUCUGUGUGUGUGUCUGCAGGAAGGGAGCGCAGUGCGUAUGAGGAAUGUCGAAUCUGUUUAUUGAGUGUCUGGCAUGGGCGAGUGAGCGCGCGGCUGUUCUCGCAUUUAUUUAUCGCUUCUUCGUGUGUUCGCGAUAGAAAUGUAGGUGAGUGUGACAUCAAUUAACGUUUACGCAAAUCGCCAGGGAAAUGUGUGCUGACGUCGGCAGCUGUGCCGAAAAUAUGUGUUUAUCUGCAUGCCAGUGACUAAAUUCCUAUAACAAACGAAGCAGCCGAUGUUUUCUAUUUUAUUUUAAAUAUUUCCUCACACACACACACACUUGUCUCCUUGUUUGGCUACAGAAGACAGGCUUCGUGACAUUUUUUAUGCGAUGUGACAUGCGUUGUGCCUUCUGCAAUUAUCCCAACCAUUUCCUGCAACGGUGCGUUAGCUGAUUACUUUUUACCGUUAGCUCCACAUCUUGCGUUUCUUACGUAAGUCCAUCUCGUGUUGGCUGGUUGGUGUACUUUGUGCUUUAUUGCUCUUCUGACUCUUCUGCUUUGACAUGUACCGUCCAUUAUCUGUCGAGCGAUCUAUCCAUCUGCCGGCCGAAAUUGACGAACGUCAAAGUAAAUUGAUGGCCGUUUUUAUUAAACGAAAAUCAAGUUGCGUGCAAGCUUGUUUAUUGCGGCAGUUUGCUGACAAUCCGUCAUUGGUUAGCGUUUUAUUGCGCUUUUACGGCACAUAAAGCCGCUUCGUUUGAUUAUACUAAUUUUUUUCAAUGCGAGCAAGUCAUUUGCAUUCCGCACGGUGUCAUGGAAGUAAAUCGUCUUCUGGGAGAGAAUGACAUUUGUUUAGUUUUCCUUAUCUUUCAGUUGUUCUUUAUUGUAGAUUAUGAUAGCCUGACGAUAAGAUAAAUAUAAAGCCCCAACCCUUAGGCCAGUAUUAAUAUGAGUAGAUAUUUGACAGAUUAUGUUCGUAUUUUUUUUGUUUUUAUUAUUAUUUCGAAGUGAAAUUCGCAUAUACGUGUACAUACAUAUGUACUUAAAUAGGAUUUUUUAGAAAGACAUUUGACAGCUCUCCGAAUCACUAAAUUUAUUUUUCCAUGAGAUAGACGAGGAAAAUAAAUCAAUCAUAACUUUCAUAUAUUCAGUCGAAUAAAAUGGUUUGGCGAACAUUUGCGACCAGUCCAAAAAUAUUUCUCUUGCGUUGAGUGGAAAUAUCUGCAAGGGAGCAUCACUCAAUUUAGAGAAUUCAAUGAAGAAAUUCACAAUUUUUUAAUGUAAAUGCCGGUGGUGUAUUUGAUAAAUAUAAAGUACACGAACAUGCAUGUAGAGUCCCAAAAAAAAAAACGAAAAAAUUUCGGGGAAAUACAAUCAAAUUUUUAGGCCUCUUUAUAUUAUACCGCACUGUACUGUUUUGUUAUUGUAAUUGUAUUGCACGGCUAAACAAACCGCAAAAUUAAUAUUUUGUUGGCUGAAUGAAAAGAAAUCACUUUGGCAAACAAGCCGAACCGCGAACAAUGCCAACCCAAGCCACAGCGCCUAAAAGUAUGCAACACACACACACACAAGUGGGCGAAUUUCAGUGGAUCUCAUUCAGACGACGCAUUGCAGCAGAUCCAUCAUUUUACUGGUGAAUUUGCGAAAAUGUUGGGAUCACGCUGAAAUUCCAGCGAAAGAGAGGAAAUUCAACCGUCUGAUGAAAUGCCCAUGGGCUACGAGUAGACGCUGCGACAAAUGUAGACAUACCAUGGCUCCAGCAUUUAUUUGAUUAAAAAGAUAUACAUAAAUAUCUAGUAGAAUUCAUAUGUUCAGGCUGUUGUGGGGCGGCUGUUAUGCCUUCCGAAAUGUAAGUUAAAAUUCUGUCAGCUUACCACGUUGCUUGUAAGCGGCUUAAGCUAGCAGUCGCCUUGCGAUUAAGUUCGCAUUAUAAUUAUGCCAUUAAAUUGGCUGUAAAAUCAACAAUUUUUUCUAAAUUAAUUUCUUAUGCAAUCAAAAGCAAAUAAAACUGCGCCACGCUGCUAACUUGCCCUCGGUCGUGGGUGGAGGGUCGAGAGUUGAGAGAAUAAAAGCGGAAAAUUAGCAUUUUUAUGAUUUUUUUUUUGCCUUCGCCGGCACUUGACGUGCUCGCUGGCGUAUGAAACCGCUGGGACAGUUGACAUGCGGACUUCCGAGAAGUCUGUCUUUGUGUUGACUUUCUACUUUCUUCUAUUCUGUGUACACAAACGCACUCUUUCCAUUUGCUUUCCAGUGAAGGCAGCAAGUGGCGUCAAGGAAAAUGUCAAAAUGUCUACCAAAUGACGGCUGUGUCGAGUAUUUCAUAUUAAUUUUGCUCAUUUUCUACAUUAGCUCAUACACACAUACAAUUUAUGUGCAAAUCACCUCUGCAUCAUGUGACCGCAAAUUUUAUUCAGAGAUUUGAAUUAUUUCAUCAAAUUAAUUAGCCGAAAAAUGAAAAUUCGAGAAAAUUGUAAACAGAGAACCUUAGUAUUUAGUAUUUCAGGGCAAAUUUGCUUUUAUUUUAGGCAUUUUCGGUUUCUUGUUAAUUAAAUUCUGCCAAAAUUCGACUUAAUUAGGCUUGACUAAAUGGUUAAUUGUGGUAAGUUAGUAAAUUAUUAUUUCCAUUUCAAGAUUUUCGAGCAUUUUAGUAAAAUAGAAUACAAAUUUAGUAAAUUUAUCAUAAAAUAAAUGCAAGAAAUUUGGAUAAAUCACAAGUAAAAUUUGCUGCUAAUUGCUUCAUAAGCUUCACAAUGGAAAAAGUUGUUGAAAAAUAGAGAAAAGUUUUUAUUUUUUUUUUUGAGGUGAGUUAAUGUUAAAAGCGAAUACUAUCUCUUUCUUAUUACUGAUGUGUCUUCAAAGGACUUCUCUUAAUUCCACUUCAUUGCUUGCUUUUUAGUUUUUCUUUUCCAUUUGCUGCCAAGUGAAAGCCCUGCAGCCUGAGAAUUCUCAUAGUAUGCAAUUACCACAGUACAAUGUGAGCGCUUCAUUCUCUCUCUCUAAAUUAGGUGGCGUAGUUUUAAGCUCAUGCCGUGAGCUGAACGUGAGUUUGUGUGUGUCUGCAUGAUGCCGCAAGGCAAUAAAGAAAUUACUUUGUAGUGUGAAUUAAAUUGCGUGUUUAUAUUAUAUUUAUGUAUGUAACGGACAUGCAAAUGACACGUGUAACUAGCUCGUGAAUUCAUACAUAUAUUCCUUCUUCCUCUGUAAAAGCUCAUAGUUUGAUUUUAAAUUUCGAAUAUAUAUAUAUACAAUAAAGUAAUACACCACUCAUGGCACAAAAACAUUUCUUAACUUUUCUAAUUUUGAUUUCAAUCAUAGAUUAAUCCUUAA
Zeugodacus cucurbitae (melon fly) is the source of this 3761-nucleotide long non-coding RNA. RefSeq lists it as uncharacterized. The transcript has 2 exons. The record is from RefSeq and is a predicted model, not a curated record. NCBI's taxonomy places the organism in Eukaryota, Metazoa, Arthropoda, Insecta, Diptera, Tephritidae.